AAGUCGUAACAAGGUAACCGUAGGUGAACCUGCGGUUGGAUCAUUAAUAAAUUUAUAAAGGUAAAGGGUCUUUACGGACCUUUUUACUCUUUAACAAAUUUGUGAACUUUAUUAAAGUCUUUUGGGAUGAUAGCAAUGUUAUCCCAAAAACCCCCUUUAAACAAUUUUUUAUAUAACAAGUCUUUAAAAACCUUUAAAUUUAAUUUAAAAAACAACUUUUGACAACGGAUCUCUUGGCUCUC
This 242-nucleotide unclassified non-coding RNA is filed under the name fungal sp. RNAcentral's name for it is "partial internal transcribed spacer region". The stretch from base 1 to 46 matches the Rfam family "Eukaryotic small subunit ribosomal RNA", at positions 1786 to 1831 of the family's 1831-position model. Lineage: Eukaryota; Fungi. The record is from RNAcentral.